GCGAACGCUUGCGGCGGGCUUAACACAUGCAAGUCGAGCGGGCAGCUUCGGCUGUCAGCGGCGGACGGGUGAGUAACACGUAGGUUACCUGCCCUGGGGUGGGGGAUAACUGAGGGAAACUUCAGCUAAUACCGCAUAUGGCCUACGGGUCAAAGCAGCAAUGCGCCUUGGGAUGGGCCUGCGUCCGAUUAUUUAAUCCUAGUUGGCGGGGUAACGGCCCACCAAGGGUACGAUCGGUAGCUGGUCUGAGAGGAUGAUCAGCCACACUGGAACUGAGACACGGUCCAGACUCCUACGGGAGGCAGCAGUGGGGAAUAUUGCGCAAUGGGCGAAAGCCUGACGCAGCCACGCCGCGUGUGUGAUGAAGGCCUUCGGGUUGUAAAGCACUGUCGGGAGGGAAGAAGAAAUGACGGUACCUCCCAAGAAAGCACCGGCUAACCCUGU
Molecule: ribosomal RNA, 444 nt
Filed under: uncultured bacterium
Lineage: Bacteria
Description: bacterial SSU rRNA
Rfam family: Bacterial small subunit ribosomal RNA
Source: RNAcentral